AUACGGAGGAUGCAAGCGUUAUCCGGAUUUAUUGGGUUUAAAGGGUGCGUAGGCGGAUGAUUAAGCGUGAGGUGAAAUGCCACUGCUCAACAGUGGAACUGCCUCGCGAACUGGUUGUCUUGAAUGCUCCUGCCGUGGGAGGAAUGUGUGGUGUAGCGGUGAAAUGCAUAGAGAUCACACAGAACACCGAUUGCGAAGGCAUCUCACGAAGGGGUGAUUGACGCUGAGGCACGAAAGCGUGGGGAUCAAACAGGAUUAGAUACCCUGGUAGUCCACGCAGUAAACGCUGAUAACUAACCGCUGGGUCGUAGUGAUUCAGUGGCCAAGCGAAAGCGAUAAGUUAUCCACCUGGGGAGUACGACCGCAAGGUUGAAACUCAAAUGAAUUGGCGGGG
RNAcentral lists this ribosomal RNA (394 nucleotides) under uncultured bacterium. RNAcentral describes it as "partial 16S ribosomal RNA". It matches the Rfam family "Bacterial small subunit ribosomal RNA", at positions 523 to 918 of the family's 1533-position model. The record is from RNAcentral.